UGAGGAAUAUUGGUCAAUGGACGGAAGUCUGAACCAGCCAAGUAGCGUGCAGGAUGACGGCCCUAUGGGUUGUAAACUGCUUUUGUAUGGGGAUAAAGUUAGGGACGUGUCCCUAUUUGCAGGUACCAUACGAAUAAGGACCGGCUAAUUCCGUGCCAGCAGCCGCGGUAAUACGGAAGGUUCAGGCGUUAUCCGGAUUUAUUGGGUUUAAAGGGAGCGUAGGCUGGAGAUUAAGUGUGUUGUGAAAUGUAGACGCUCAACGUCUGAAUUGCAGCGCAUACUGGUUUCCUUGAGUACGCACAACGUUGGCGGAAUUCGUCGUGUAGCGGUGAAAUGCUUAGAUAUGACGAAGAACUCCGAUUGCGAAGGCAGCUGACGGGAGCGCAACUGACGCUUAAGCUCGAAGGUGCGGGUAUCAAACAGGAUUAGAUAUCCUGGUAGUCCGCACAGUANCGAUGGAUGCCCGCUGUUGGUACCUGGUAUCAGCGGCUAAGCGAAAGCAUUAAGCAUCCCACCUGGGGAGUACGCCGGCNCGGU
RNAcentral lists this ribosomal RNA (537 nucleotides) under uncultured bacterium. RNAcentral's name for it is "bacterial SSU rRNA". It matches the Rfam family "Bacterial small subunit ribosomal RNA", at positions 355 to 895 of the family's 1533-position model. The record is from RNAcentral.